ACCCACAAACGUUCUAAACCCAGCAGCUUCGUCUUUUCCUUCACCGUACUUCGUCUUCUCCGUCACCGUGACUCCACCGAUCUAACCAGCAGCUCUGACUCACGGACGCACCUUCUUAGCCAACCCCGCUGGCCCCCUGCCUCGCCUAGCAAUGGAACGCACCCGGACGCAGUGAGCCCAUAGCGCAAGACCAUCGGAACACCACCACAAAAAACCCGUCUUGGCCCUCUUCCCUCUUUGCUUUUGAGAAGGUAAUUGUAUGGGAUAAGGGCAAGAGUAUAAUCGCCCUCUAAUACUUUCAUCAUCAUCAAAAUUGGAAGCUUGCUUAGCGAGUGGUCCUAACACCAGGAGCAAUGGAACUUUCUAAAGGGAAAGGGAAGGCCAUCUGUGUAGCCAAGGGAAAGAAAUCUAUGCUGGAUGGUGAUUUGGAGAAAACUGUAAGAUAAACUUUAACUCUUCAUUUUUCAUUUUCUAUUGAUCACUGUUCUUCAUUUUCUAUUGUAUAGGUUAGGUUUCUUCGAGAAAAGAAUGUUUGCGCCGUGCCUUCAAAUUUUUUCUGAUUUCGUUGAUGCAAAGCACUAAUUGAUGUGCUGCACUGGCUGAUGUGCUGCACUGGCUGAUGUGCUUAUAUCUGCUCUUAUGUUGUUAAAUGCAGAGCACUGGCUGGUGUGCUUAGAUUUUUUCUGAUUUCGUUGAUGCAGAGCACUAACUGAUGUGUUGCACUGGCUGGUGUGUUUAUAUCUGCUCUUACAUUGUUAAAUGCAGAGCACUGGCUGGUGUGCUUAGAUUUUUUCUGAUUUCGUUGAUGCAGAGCACUAACUAAUGUGCUUCUUGGUUUUAACUUUUUACCUGGUAUUUACUAGAAUUCCAUAAGCAGCAAAUUGAUAGUUAUUUGUAGCUAGCUUAAAUGAAUAGUUGGGAGAAUGCAUAAGCAGGGGUAAUUCUCUUUCGUGCCACUAAGAAGAGGAUCACAUACUACACACUAAUGCUUGAGCCACUAGCUAGCAAGUGCCGUAGGCACGGGCAAGCACUAGUAUAUAUAUAAAAUAGAAAAAAAAACGAA
Molecule: long non-coding RNA, 1063 nt
Organism: Rhododendron vialii
Lineage: Eukaryota; Viridiplantae; Streptophyta; Magnoliopsida; Ericales; Ericaceae
Exons: 3
Source: RefSeq, a predicted model, not a curated record